CCUACCCCAUAUUACCAUUAUAUCCCCUUGUGUUUAGCCUCUCUCCUAACAUUACCAUUAUACCCCUCCUCCUUUACCCUCUCUUCCCAUCUCCAGUUCAUGCCGCCUCCGUUGGAUAGCCUUGCAGGUCCUUCUCCCCUUCAUCUUCUUCCUCAUGGAACCCUUUGCCUGAACUACUGCCCGAGUUGGAGAACAGAUUGGGUUUUCAUGGCUAGGUCUAAACGAGAGCGAAACCGAGCCCAGCAGAUCCAAGCCACUGCCAUGCCUGUGUUGUAGAUCUCACUGUCAAACCACCAGGGUCAUCGUUGGGGUCGUAUUCCACCACCAUUACCUCAGGCCGUUCCAGCCACCAUCCUUGACAAGGGUGCUUCGGGCACCUGCAGGAUUUCAGAGGUUUCAAACAUGAAGUUUCAUCUUACUCAGGUCCAAUACCAUAGUCAAAUGGAUGCAAAUGGAAAUUACCAAGAGGAUGCAUGGUUUGACUCAACUAGCAUUCUAGAAUCUGAUUCAGAUGAAGAGUUCAGUAGUGUGCAUGGAGAUUGUUUUCCCUUUGUGGGCAAUGCUUUGGGAGGUGUCUCAAAUACUCAGUUACUCCAGUAUGAAAGUGCAUCCUGCUUUGUAGAUUCAGGGUGUAAAUAUGAGGAGUAUUAUGAGAGCUACCUCAAAAUAGAUGGAGGUAUUUGCAAGAAUGGAGAGAAAACUCAGGAGAAUAGCUCAAAGCAAUCAACAGUUAUCAUGUAUUCUGUAACAAGGAAAUCCACUGAUGAUGCAUCUGAGAGAUUUCUAUACCGUCCCAGAGCGGGGCUUCAAAUUCCCAGAUCAACUGAAGGAAAGUCGUUCGCUGGUUCCUGGUCUGCAAUUUCCCCUUCCUUGUUCAAGCUCCGUGGCGAAAGUUUUUUCAGUGAUAAGCAGAAGUGUCCUGCUCCAGACUUCUGCCCUUAUACACCAAUAGGUGUUGAUUUAUUUGUUUCUUCAAAGAAGAUAAAUCACAUUGCUAAGCAUCUUGAACUUCCAUCUGUCCAAGAACAUGGGAAAAUACCCUCACUCCUCAUUGUUAAUAUACAGUUGCCAACAUAUCCUGCUAGCAUAUUCCUUGGUGAUGCCAAUGGUGAAGGUUUGAGCCUUGUACUAUAUUUUAAAUUGUCCGAGAAUUUUGAAAAAGAGAUCUCGCCAUGUUUUCAGGAGAAGAUCAAGGGCUUCUCUGCACAAGCUCAAUUCCUAUAAAUCGCCCUUCAAUGCGUAGAGUGGUGAAAAUGCUGCAGGAAGCAACUGCAGUUCCCAAAUCCAGAAGUGGAAAACUCUCUCCUUACUAUCAAGAAGAUGCUUAGCAACAACUACUCCAAUUUACACCUCAAGUUUGAGAUUAUGAUGGCAAAGUAACUCCUAAGAAGGUAGCAGCUGCUGCAAUGUACUUAAAGGGUAUACAAGAGCUCAUCACAUUUGAGAAACUACAAGGCCUCCCAAAUUGCUGUGGUGUAGUUGAUGUUACACACAUCAAU
RNA transcript from Lotus japonicus, 1499 nucleotides. RefSeq lists it as uncharacterized. NCBI's taxonomy places the organism in Eukaryota, Viridiplantae, Streptophyta, Magnoliopsida, Fabales, Fabaceae. The record is from RefSeq and is a predicted model, not a curated record. The transcript has 8 exons.